Molecule: long non-coding RNA, 207 nt
Filed under: Phoenix dactylifera (date palm)
Lineage: Eukaryota; Viridiplantae; Streptophyta; Magnoliopsida; Arecales; Arecaceae
Description: long non-coding RNA (PDAC_LNC017720)
Source: RNAcentral
UUUUUCUUUGUGUUCCUCUGAGAGUCGACUCUCACUUUCUUUGGAGUCGACUUGCCAACCAUCGGAGUCGACUCGCGUUCCACUGGAGUCGACUCGAAUCUCAGACCCGAAAACUGCUCUCUGACUUUUCUGCCUGUGACUCCUUGGAGUCGACUCAUACUACCCUGGAGUCGACUCGGUGAACAUCGGAGUCGACUCGCGCACUUC